RNAcentral lists this ribosomal RNA (207 nucleotides) under uncultured bacterium. RNAcentral describes it as "partial 16S ribosomal RNA". It matches the Rfam family "Bacterial small subunit ribosomal RNA", at positions 568 to 774 of the family's 1533-position model. The record is from RNAcentral.
UGCGUAGACGGCUAUCUAAGUCGGGUGUGAAAGCCCCGGGCUCAACCUGGGAAUUGCAUUCGAGACUGAAUAGCUAGGGUGCGGUAGAGGGAAGCGGAAUUUCCGGUGUAGCGGUGAAAUGCGUAGAUAUCGGAAGGAACAUCAGUGGCGAAAGCGGCUUCCUGGACCAGCACCGACGUUCAGGCACGAAAGCGUGGGGAGCAAACA